Molecule: long non-coding RNA, 3097 nt
Filed under: Canis lupus familiaris (dog)
Lineage: Eukaryota; Metazoa; Chordata; Mammalia; Carnivora; Canidae
Description: lncRNA (ENSCAFG00845014159.1)
Source: RNAcentral
GGCGGCGGCGCGGGGCGGGCGGCUGGCGCGGCAGAAAGAAGAAUAGCCGGCCCAUCCGAAAGGACGUCUGCACCGGAACUGAGUACCCACGAGGUCACCUUGAAGGGCCUGCAGAGGAAUCUGAGUCCUGGUGGCCUUAGGCAGCUGCAUUACUGGAUCGAGAUGACCACAGCCACCCCUUUGGGGGGUACUACGUUCUUCUCAUUGAAUGUGACCACCAGAGAAGACUUCCUGUACAAGAGUUCCGGAGCCAUCGUUGCUGCCAUUGUGGUAGUUGUCAUCAUCAUCUUCGCCGUGGUUCUGAUCCUGCUAAAGAUGUACAACAGGAAAAUGAGGAUGAGGCGGGAGCUGGAGCCCAAGGGGCCCAAGCCAGCCUCGCCUUCUGCCUUGGGCCCAAACAACAACAGCAGCCAGCACCCUGCAACUGUGACCUUCAGCCCCGUUGACGUCCACGUGGAGACUCGGUGACUGUCCCCCCACGCUGGUGCUAUUUUGGCCACCGUCCAAAGAGCCUUCUUCAGUCAAGAUCCAGAAGCACAUUUCUCCUCUGGCAGCUUCACUAUGAGAGUUCCUUCCAGGAUUGGGUCAACGGGAACAUCUCUUAUGCAAUUCCUGAUGCUUCAGGCAACCCCCAACCCUGUCUUGCCCUGCCCCACCCUAGCUAUAUCCAUAUCCCUGGUGCCACCCUUCCAAAAGGCUGUGGAAGAUUCUGUUGUGAUCUGAUGAGGUAGAGCUAUGUUGGGAAUCCACUGAAGCGGGUGUGGCUCUCUCCCCCAAGCACAACUGCUAGACAGACAGCCCAGGAGUCUUCUGGUCAGGAGUCAGGGGUCAGCACAUGCUCCCAAGAGUUAUCACAACAGGGUCUGCCACUGGGGUCCUAUCAGAAUAAGUGCUAUAGCCAUAUCUUUGCAGAGCAAAAUGCUCAAUCCCAUUAAUCAGGCACAGAGGAAACUAACUUGGGCUAACUAACCAAAAAACCAACUUGUUAAUGUAGGACUUGUUCUGGUACUAGAUGACCGCUAGCUAGCUUAUGACAACAACCAGUCAGCAGAUUUUGGUUGGGGGAGAAACAAUUCUCCUCAGAAGUUUUCUAUUUCAUUAGCAGAGAGGUGAAGGAAUAGGAUGACCUUGAGGAAUGAUGGCCUCUGGGGUCAAAGCUUAUUGCAGUGUCCGUGGGCCUUGAAUGAGUCUGGAGCUAGUCAGAGCCCCUCCUCUCCCUUUGGGGCGGGAUUAAGCCUGACUCAGUCUCAUUUCUUGGCUUCCCUCUGGUUUCUGAGCAAUCCUCUCUCUCCAGGUAACAUUUCCCUCCAAGGACCAGUAUUAGAGACUGAUCAGAUGACAAUCCUGUUUAUGUCACCUGGGUCCUUCCUGAUAACCUCACAGAGAUUCAGAGCACAUUCAAAGUAUGACAUUUGCAAACCAUUUCUCUCUUUGACUCCUUAGCCUGGAGAACAAUCUACUGAGAGGGGAGCCAUUUUGAAAUUAAGACUUUCCUUCCAAGCCCUGCCUCCUGGUUGUGUGGUCUUGGCAGAGUGAUGCGAGCACUCCGUCUUGGGUUGGCUAACCACGAAGUGGGGAUGAUGACCUCUGCCUCACAAGCUUACUUUAACUAGUCAAGGACUUAGUAGAGCAGCUCGGGGAGUGCCUGGCACUCAGCAGAUGCUUAAUAAAUGAGAGCCAGCAUUAUUGUUACAGUAUUUCUUCAAUGGCAAGACAUAUUUGUUCACAUUUUAAAGAUUCUGAAAUCAGGAUAUGUCUUCAAAUUGAUGGGUCCAUUAAUGUAGUAUUUUUUUCUCUCUCAAAAAGCUGUUUUUAAUCUGUUGUACACCUUACAAUUAAAGGCAUCUUGGAAACAAGGUCAUAAAUCUUUACUCUGUUGCAGAAAGUGACACACUCCGACAUUUAACCUCAAAUUCUAAGAGUCUCUUCCUCUUGGAAUCAGAAAUCUCUUCUGAGGGGAAACUGGGGGUCAGGAAGGUAAGAAGACUGACCCAGGGUCACAGAGUCAUGUCAUCCCACUAUAAAAAUGCUCGCUUGGAUAAGUCUGGAAAAAUACUGGCAAAUACUUCCUACCCCAAACAUCUUUUCUCCCUACUGUGUUUAAAUAUCUACCAAGUAUCAGGUGCUUGGCAAGAUGCUUUCAUGCAAAUUAUCUCAUAGAAUUUAUUUUUCCAAUAACCCUGGAAGGAAUUAUGUUUUCUGUUUGCAGCUGCAAGUUGCAAAUUCAAAGAGAAAAGGACUUGUCCACAGCCACACAGCUAGUUAAGUUGCAAAGACGAGACUCAAACCCAUGGCUCUUUGAACCCAAAGUCCCUCUCUCUGUUGUACCACAUUCUUCUUUAACAUCCUGGCUCAGAGAACAUGAAUUUCUUUUGUGGGCCGAACAUGUGUCUGAGCAAAGGCCCAUGUAUCUCAGCAGAUGUCAGGAGUCUAGCUUCCAAAUUGACAGUAUGGGGCAAAGCCACUUUGGUAGCCUCCUCUGGGCUCCCAUGACUGGAGCCAAAGGCCCCCUCUCUGAGCCCAUCAAAGCUCUAAGGAUUCCUCUUUCAUUUCCCAUAAGUCUAAUCCCCAGGGAGCAAAGGGUGAAAUGGCAUCCAACCAGGAAAAGCUAUUUCCUGAAGGACUCAAAUCCCAAAUAGAUAUGUUUCCAAAAAAUUGUUCUGCUUUAAAAAAAGAAAAAAAAAAUUUUUUUUGGAAUGUUCCAGCCCUAAAACCAAACUCUUCUGUCCAUACUGGAAUCUUCCUGGAAUUAUUAGAGGAAUUAUUCUCUGUUAUAUGUUCUUUUGCUAAAUGAAAGCUUGGAAGUGGAGGAGGGGGGAGAGAGAGAGAUGAGGGGAGGCCAAGAAAGGGGUUCUAGUGUUUUGUUUUUAACUAAUGAAGAUAACUCAGUAAACAUCCUUUGAGGGCACCUAUGUGCAAGGUGAGGUGCUACUAAACACACUGUCACUGUCCCCACUCUCAAGGAGGCUGCAGCUGGUCUCCUGGGACGGGCCUUGCAACACAGGGGAGUAUUUCAUUUCUGACAGGUGCCUUUCCUAACUGAGCAGAUGCUGCCUUAAUUGGCCACUGAAUCAACAAAAGAUACUAAAUGUCUAAA